This 208-nucleotide ribosomal RNA is filed under the name uncultured bacterium. RNAcentral describes it as "partial 16S ribosomal RNA". It matches the Rfam family "Bacterial small subunit ribosomal RNA", at positions 1293 to 1500 of the family's 1533-position model. The record is from RNAcentral.
UCGGAUUGUAGUCUGCAACCCGGCUACAUGAAGCUGGAAUCGCUAGUAAUCGCGGAUCAGAAUGCCGCGGUGAAUACGUUCCCGGGUCUUGUACACACCGCCCGUCACACCAUGGGAGCCGGAAAUGCCCGAAGUCAGUGACCCAACCGCAAGGAGGGAGCUGCCGAAGGUGGAGCUGGUAACUGGGGUGAAGUCGUAACAAGGUAAC